RNAcentral lists this transfer RNA (93 nucleotides) under Nocardia terrae. Its description in RNAcentral is "Nocardia sp. ET3-3 tRNA-Met". It matches the Rfam family "tRNA". Rfam says of the family: Transfer RNA (tRNA) molecules are approximately 80 nucleotides in length. Their secondary structure includes four short double-helical elements and three loops (D, anti-codon, and T loops). Lineage: Bacteria; Bacillati; Actinomycetota; Actinomycetes; Mycobacteriales; Nocardiaceae. The record is from RNAcentral.
GGCAGCCGAGUGGUUGCUCAUCACUGGGAUGAUGACGAAGGCGCUGGGCUCAUAACCCAGAGGUCGCAGGCUCAAAUCCUGUCCCCGCUACCA